This 492-nucleotide ribosomal RNA is filed under the name uncultured bacterium. Its description in RNAcentral is "partial 16S ribosomal RNA". It matches the Rfam family "Bacterial small subunit ribosomal RNA", at positions 28 to 507 of the family's 1533-position model. The record is from RNAcentral.
GAUGAACGCUAGCUACAGGCUUAACACAUGCAAGUCGAGGGGAAACGGCAUCGAAAGCUUGCUUUUGAUGGGCGUCGACCGGCGCACGGGUGAGUAACGCGUAUCCAACCUGCCCAUCACUUGGGAAUAACCUUGCGAAAGUAAGACUAAUGCCCAAUGACAUCCCACGAAGGCAUCCGAAUGGGAUUAAAGAUUUAUCGGUGAUGGAUGGGGAUGCGUCUGAUUAGCUUGUUGGCGGGGUGACGGCCCACCAAGGCAACGAUCAGUAGGGGUUCUGAGAGGAAGGUCCCCCACAUUGGAACUGAGACACGGUCCAAACUCCUACGGGAGGCAGCAGUGAGGAAUAUUGGUCAAUGGGCGAGAGCCUGAACCAGCCAAGUAGCGUGCAGGAUGACGGCCCUAUGGGUUGUAAGCUGCUUUUAUAAGGGAAUAAAGUGGGUCACGUGUGACUUUUUGCAUGUACCUUAUGAAUAAGGACCGGCUAAUUCCGUG